RNAcentral lists this transfer-messenger RNA (67 nucleotides) under Actinomycetota bacterium. RNAcentral describes it as "Actinobacteria bacterium partial transfer-messenger RNA". It matches the Rfam family "transfer-messenger RNA", at positions 306 to 374 of the family's 374-position model. From Rfam's summary of the family: Bacterial tmRNA, also known as 10Sa RNA or SsrA, is named for its dual tRNA and mRNA-like properties. Its role is to liberate the mRNA from a stalled ribosome. The record is from RNAcentral. Lineage: Bacteria; Bacillati; Actinomycetota.
GGCUACACCCGUAGAAGAGUCAUGAACGCUGCAGUGGACCCGGGUUCGAUUCCCGGCAUCUCCACCA